Betta splendens (Siamese fighting fish) is the source of this 657-nucleotide long non-coding RNA. RefSeq lists it as uncharacterized. The transcript is spliced from 2 exons. The record is from RefSeq and is a predicted model, not a curated record. NCBI's taxonomy places the organism in Eukaryota, Metazoa, Chordata, Actinopteri, Anabantiformes, Osphronemidae.
ACCUCGGCUUGUUAAUGAGUCACUGCUUAUCACUCAGCCUUGUUAACAGGCAGAGGUCUCCCAUCCAAACCGCCUACUGCUAUUGUGCGCUAGUCGUACUGCGCGUUAGCCAAACGCUCCCCCAUCUUGGCACACAGGAAGUCGACAGUAAACAAGGGCAGCGCACACAGGAAGUGGGCACGCAGCCAGGCAGAAAGAUCCGGCCCAGAGGGGCGGGGGCCCAUUUUGUGGCAGGAUGGAGGGAACCUCUGGCAAAGGCACGCAAACGCGACGCCUUCCCGCCUGUAAAUCUCACCGCACUAACGAUUGGCCGGCGCUGCUCCCAUCCCUUAAUCCUUAUUCAUUACUGGCCUCAGCUGGAAGCAUCGAGACUCCUUCAGCUGUUCCGACAAGCGGAACUCGUCGAGGGGCUCUUAGCCUGGAGAUCUCCAUUAUGACGGCAUUAUGUGGCCGCCCACCCCACUCUACACCACCUUCUACUUAACAGCUAUGCCGCUAUGUCACAACAGCACCGAUCAGAAAGAUUGGAGCAGAUGGGAGCGACGGACCAGUGCUUCGCAGCUCAAACUCAGCGUUUUCCCUCUGGCUCCGCAGCAUCACUGUGUGCCACAUUUCUAAAAGCUGUAGAACAAUGAAAAUAAAAUUCAUUUAUAUAUA